Molecule: long non-coding RNA, 3777 nt
Filed under: Sus scrofa (pig)
Lineage: Eukaryota; Metazoa; Chordata; Mammalia; Artiodactyla; Suidae
Description: lncRNA (ENSSSCG00030018741.1)
Source: RNAcentral
CCAGGAAGGCCCUGCAGUGUCCUGAUGAAACAAGAAAAAGAAGUGGAGAGAAGAGAGCAAAGGAGGGGAAGCAAAAGGAGAGUGGUCAUCCCUAGUGUGUUGACUUUUGCCCACAUGCUUGUUGCCUCAUGGUUACCAAAUGGUAUUUGCAUCUCCAGGGAGUAUGUGCAAUUGCUGCACAGAAAGAAGAGGAAAGGAAAGGCUUCAUUUUGGAAGGCUUUGUCUUCUUAUGAAAGAUGGGAAACUUGAGAGACAAAUCUCCAUGAAUAUUUCAGGCUGCAACAAAUACAGACAAAGGAAAGACUGCCCUUCACUUCCCCUAGUGCAUGCCCUUUAUUAGAGCCACAGUCAGAGAUCUUCAAAUGCCAGACAGAAGGUUAAGGAGGCUUCUAGUUAAAAUGCAAACUAGUUAUUACCCUGGAGGUAUUCCACAGUGAAGAGACUGAAAUCAAGCCAUGAAGAAGUUAAUCUGAAAAAAUCUUUCCACGGAAGGAUUUAUGACUUGAUCUUUGAGGAAGCAACAGCAUGAGGCUGGAUCUGGUGAUGAAAGCUUAAUGGAAGUUAUUGCCCUUUCCACUCAGAUAAGAAGAUUGAAGAAGAGAAAUUGCCCCAAAUGGCAGAGGCAAGAUAAGAAUCUAAGCAGGUGGCCUCUGAGCCCAACUCCCUGACCACCGCAUUCAGUUAGUUUCUAUAAGUGAGAUGAUGCUUGUCAAAGCACCGCCCAUAGCUGAGAUGCCCAGUGGAUGCUCAAUUCCUUUUCUUUCCAAAGAACUUGAUGAGCCAUACUCUGAGACACCUGGGGGAUUUUGCUAUCCCAGAAAACACAGUAAAGAUUUCUCAAGUUCCCUUUUCCCCUUGAGAGACGUGGCCCCACAGUUCCCCAUAUUUCAACCAGAGACGCGCUUGUCAAAAGAGAGGCACUCAGAUAUCAUCACUGCUGUUCCUCAGAAGCAAAUAGUGGGUAAGCCGUUCUGAAUAAUGAAACACCCUCUCCCUGGAGUCAUUAGCAGAAUGCACUGUUCUUUUUCUCCAGCUUCAUCGGUUCUACAGAACAGAACAUUUGAUGCAAAGUUUCUUCAGCUGCUCACUCUCAUAUUCAAGCCUGAGGCUAUAGCACUUUUGACUGCUACAAUCCAGCUGCUUUUCAGUCUGCUCUCACUAAUAACUCUAUUAUAAUAUUUAUAAUACUGUCUAUUAUACUGAGUGUUUCUUUUCCCCACAGACACUAUCAAAUUACCCUCCAUCUUUAGUUCAUGCCCAUGCCUUAGUUCUUUUCUGAGAGGGGGCAGACCUGUUGCCUGGGAGGACUGCUACUGAGCUCUUUGCCAACAUUACACCCACUGUAGCUAAAAAGGAGACUGUCCCAUCUGCCUUGGUUUGGCUUAAAGCCACUAGUGCUAUCAAUUCCAAGAGCUAUUAGAGGCACAGCUGGGGUCUUACUCAAAACAUCAGCCAGGGUGGGUCUUAGGAAUGCUCAUGGACUAGAGCAUUUGCUUUGCUUUGUCCUGUUUUGGUUGCUGAGUUUAUUCUUGUUAGUGAGGCAGGUGGAUUUCUGAUCACCAUGUUUGCAAGGCAUCAUAUUCUGAGAUUAAGGGAACCUCUUUCACCUAAUAAAAAUACCGGAGAGAUAAAACUGUGUUUUAGAGACAUGUUAGGUGACAUUAACAAAGCAAUGACAGGAAUGAAAUGUGUUCAGGAUGGGUCAAUGUGAGAGCUGGAUCCUUGAGACUUUCUUGUCAAGGUAAUGGCUCUAAGCAUUUUUAUAAUUGAAACGGACAGGUGCUUUGCUAAAGACGCAAUGGCCACGGUGGAGGUCACUUAAGGUUGUGUUACAGUGAAGAUGAAAGGAAGCUGUCAGGGAUUUUUUUGAGCACCCAGAAGGUUGAUGUCCUGUCUACCACCUUGGUAUGGAGAGAGUUUUCCAAGGAAAUAUAGUACCUGGAUAUUCCUCUGUAUGGGAAAGAAGUCAUUGCAUUCAGGGAAGCAACAGCAAAUCAGGUAAAUCAACCAAGGCAGAAUGGCUUUGACACAUCACAAAGGUCCAGGUAUAUGGGCAUCCACUCAACAGCAUUAAUAAUAAAAUUUUAAAAUAACCAUGAAUUUUGAACUACAUUGACAUAUAACAUUUAACUUCAGAUUUCAGAGAAAAAAAUAUUUUCUUUAGAAGUGCGUGUGUGUUUGUGCAUACGCACGCGUGUGUGUUGUGUUUUAUGACCUAUAAAGGAAAUAAGAGUUGCGUAUCAGAAGAAAAUAUGUUAAGUUUUUAAAGAGAAACCACAGUGAAAGUUUGGUCACACAGAGGUGUUAUUUUCUUCCAAUUAAGCCAGAGAAAUAAGCAUGGUACUAUAGCUUUCCAGAUUUUAUAGCUGAGUUUCAGUUGGUUAAUGAGUGAAAACUGAUAAACUGAUUGAUGAAAAUUACUGGAGGGAAAGUGUUGGAACUACAUAAUCAGGUUGAAGAAAAUUAUACCCCAUGGUGAAGGCCAGAAUGAUAGGAAAUAAAUUCUCACAAAAAUGAAGUUCCUUGAGAACUUUUAAGGAGUGUCAUAAUGAACUUGUUCCAUUUAUAUUUUCUUUCACUUUUUUUUUAAAAUGUGAAAAUAAAAAUACAGGCGUCAGCAAGUCUUCAACUGAUCAUCUAUUGAAUUUAAACAAUAGAUGAAAAUGUGAGUGAAAUAAUUCUAAGUGAAAAAAUGGCUUAACUGGAAGUAUUUUUCUUUUUUAGAUGGUGAUGACAUAAUGAUGUAUCUUAUGAUACAUGGUGUUCUAGAUUUUCUGAAAAAUAUAUUUUAUUUUAUUUACCUGUCCAUCCACCUUAGCAUAGAACUUGUCAUAAUUCUUUUGGCAAUAUUAAUCAACAAAAGGGAAAAAAUUAUGAAGAAAAUGAAAGAAAACACUGAUGCAGCAGAAAACAACUACAAAGGCAGUAUUCUAUUACAUUUCACUCUUUAGAAAUGAUUUUUCUUCCCAGCUUGUUGACUCAAUAUGUUAAAAAUUUUACAAUCAAAAUUUUAUCUUUUAUAAUUUAUAGCUGAUAAUGAGUAGCAAUUAAAAAUUAUGUAGAGUAUAUUUCGUAAGAGGCAAACAAAUUAAACAAAAUACUACAAUGAACAACUUAAAAAAAGCAAACAGGCCAGCUUUUGGUGUAUAAAUGGAAAUUAACCACAGUGAUGCUGACCUAUCACAACAAAUGUACAUUUGAUCAUUUUGUAAAGAAAAUAUAGAAUUGUUGAAUGUUUCAGGAAAUACUUCAUUCAAAAAUGAUUAUUUUUUACAAUGAUACUGAAGAAGGGUAAAUCUUGGGUGUUGUGAAACUUUCUCUAGGAUCUCCUUCCCUAUGCGUGACAAAUAAAUUAAUUUUUAUUAUGCAUUUUCUGUUUCAAACUGAAACUAAAUUUAGCUUGGUGGGCAAAAUCAAACUCCAAAACAAGCACCAGCAAUGGGAAAAAUUACUGUGGUGAUGGAGGAUUUAGUAAGAUGUUAGGUGUGAUAGUCUGAAAGGAAUGCAAGUUGAACAGGUGUGCUAAGGAUGGAAUUAACGACAAAGUCAGGCAGUUUCCAUGCAAACUGCCAACGUCUAUGCCAAUUAGAGUAGUACCAACACUGUCCAAGCAACUAAAUGUCUCCACAAGAGAAUAGAAAAUGACCCAGCCCAGAUUUCUAACCGCAAAAUUCACCACCACAGCUUUCAAUACUUACCCAGAAAUAGUGUUUCCAUCUUCUCUGUCUACUCUCAUAACAAUGGAUUUGCAGUUACAGCUCCUGAUUUCACUUUAUU